Non-coding RNA from Salmo salar (Atlantic salmon), 93 nucleotides. Lineage: Eukaryota; Metazoa; Chordata; Actinopteri; Salmoniformes; Salmonidae. The record is from Rfam.
UUCCCUGUGGCUCAGUUGGUAGAGCAUGGUGUUUGCAAUGCCAGCAUGGUGUGUGCUACGCCAGGGUUGUGGGUUCGAUUCCCACGGGGGGAC